CUAACUCAAAUUUGUAUGGAGUUGGAACGUUUGACUACGUUUGCCGCUAGGGGCGCUGUUCCAACUGCAUACAAAUUUGAGUUA
Molecule: non-coding RNA, 84 nt
Organism: Bombyx mori (domestic silkworm)
Lineage: Eukaryota; Metazoa; Arthropoda; Insecta; Lepidoptera; Bombycidae
Source: Rfam